Molecule: ribosomal RNA, 253 nt
Filed under: uncultured bacterium
Lineage: Bacteria
Description: partial 16S ribosomal RNA
Rfam family: Bacterial small subunit ribosomal RNA
Source: RNAcentral
UACGAAGGGGGCUAGCGUUGUUCGGAAUCACUGGGCGUAAAGGGCGCGUAGGCGGCCGAUCAAGUCGGGGGUGAAAGCCUGUGGCUCAACCACAGAAUUGCCUUCGAUACUGUUUGGCUUGAGACGGGAAGAGGUAAGUGGAACUGCGAGUGUAGAGGUGAAAUUCGUAGAUAUUCGCAAGAACACCAGUGGCGAAGGCGGCUUACUGGUCCGGUUCUGACGCUGAGGCGCGAAAGCGUGGGGAGCAAACAGG